CCUACGGGGGGCUGCAGUGGGGAAUAUUGGACAAUGGGCGCAAGCCUGAUCCAGCAAUACCGCGUGAGUGAUGAAGGUCUUCGGAUUGUAAAGCUCUUUUAGUGGGGAAGAUAAUGACGGUACCCACAGAAAAAGCACCGGCAAACUUCGUGCCAGCAGCCGCGGUAAUACGAAGGGUGCUAGCGUUGUUCGGAAUUACUGGGCGUAAAGCGUGCGUAGGCGGCUUAGUAAGUCGAUUGUGAAAGCCCCAGGCUUAACUUGGGAACUGCAGUCGA
This 275-nucleotide ribosomal RNA is filed under the name uncultured bacterium. RNAcentral describes it as "partial 16S ribosomal RNA". It matches the Rfam family "Bacterial small subunit ribosomal RNA", at positions 338 to 630 of the family's 1533-position model. The record is from RNAcentral.